Molecule: long non-coding RNA, 1225 nt
Filed under: Zostera marina
Lineage: Eukaryota; Viridiplantae; Streptophyta; Magnoliopsida; Alismatales; Zosteraceae
Description: long non-coding RNA (ZMAR_LNC002009)
Source: RNAcentral
AGUGUUGGAUCGUGAUCAGAGGCUAUAAGGAGGGAUAAUAGUCUCUUUUCGAUUUAUACAGGUUGAUUGCGGAAUUACCUGUAAACACUUAAUAAACAAAUGGUUGAACAAUAAUGAUAUAAAGAUAUUAUAACUUUGAUUGAUAUAAUAACGUAAUUAUUACUCUUCGAAGCUUACCACAGUAUAUGAAUACUGAGUCAACUUGCUUGAUAGUGUUUUACACACAACUAUAGUAUAUGAGUACUAAGUUAUAUUGUAAACAAAUUGUAUUGUAGAGUAAAUGACCAGAUAACUGGAUAUAUUGAUAAGCAAGUAAAUGACCAGAUAACUGGAUAUAUUGAUAAGCAAGUAAAUGAUCAGAUAACUGGAUAUAUAUGAUAAGUAAAUGCUUGAACAAAUAUAUGAAUAAGGAUUUAAAGCAAUGAAUAUAACCUCAUAUAGUUGACCAGAUAACUGGAUGAGGGAUCUGCGUAAAGUAGUCAACCUCUGUAUUUGACCAGAUAACUGGAAGAGGGAUCCUUUUCAAUUAAGUGUUAUUUUAGUUAUUUUUAGAUGAAAGAUAAAAACUAUAAUUAACAAAGAACAACACAAGAGAUUUAUACUGGUUCACCCAAACAAGGGCUAGUCCAGUCCCGACCAACUGCCGGAAUUCACUCGCCUAAAGGUUAUGGCAAAACCUUAGAGUAUCAAGGAAACUCUUAAGAACCUCUCUAAGCUUUAAGGCUACUUCACUUAGGAACCAGUCUUUUACGGGUAGACUCACACCUUAGAGUAUCAAGGGCACUCUUAAGAACCUCUAACUUUUGCAGAUAAGUUAGUACCUUAGAGUAUCAAGGAACUCUUAAAAACCUCUCUAAGAUUUAAGACUAACUUCGCUUAGGAACCAGUCUUUUACGGGUAGACUCACACCUUAGAGUAUCAAGGGCACUCUUAAGAACCUCUAACUUUUACGGGUAAGUUAGUACCUUAGAGUAUCAAGGAACUCUUAAAAACCUAGAAAUCUUUCAAGGUAGAUUCGACCUAAGAGUUUUCUCGGAAACUCUAUAAAACCAAACUAGAGCUUUAUGGUUGAGCUCGGAAACCUUCUCUCACACUUUGGUACUAUUGAGACAACCCUCUCAACCAAAGUGGACACACACAAGAGGUGAUUAGAGGAGUGGAAUAUUAAAGAAAACAACACUUCUUACUUGUAAAGAUGAACAAGAAGAUUAGAAGAAGAAGUUGG